This 301-nucleotide ribosomal RNA is filed under the name uncultured bacterium. RNAcentral's name for it is "partial 16S ribosomal RNA". It matches the Rfam family "Bacterial small subunit ribosomal RNA", at positions 509 to 807 of the family's 1533-position model. The record is from RNAcentral.
CAGUAGCCACGGUAAUACGUAGGUGGCAAGCGUUGUCCGGAAUUAUUGGGCGUAAAGGGCUCGCAGGCGGUUUCUUAAGUCUGAUGUGAAAGCCCCCGGCUCAACCGGGGAGGGUCAUUGGAAACUGGGAAACUUGAGUGCAGAAGAGGAGAGUGGAAUUCCACGUGUAGCGGUGAAAUGCGUAGGGAUGUGGAGGAACACCAGUGGCGAAGGCGACUCUCUGGUCUGUAACUGACGCUGAGGAGCGAAAGCGUGGGGAGCGAACAGGAUUAGAUACCCCCGUAGUCCCUGUCUCUUAUAC